This 493-nucleotide ribosomal RNA is filed under the name uncultured bacterium. Its description in RNAcentral is "partial 16S ribosomal RNA". It matches the Rfam family "Bacterial small subunit ribosomal RNA", at positions 28 to 507 of the family's 1533-position model. The record is from RNAcentral.
GACGAACGCUGGCGGCGUGCUUAACACAUGCAAGUCGAACGGUGAAGCGCCUUCCUUUUUGGUGGGUGUGGAUGAGUGGCGAACGGGUGAGUAACACGUGAGAACCCUCCCCCUUCUUUCGGAUAAACGCAUGAAAGUGUGGCCAAAAAGGGGAAAUCCUGGGCCGUCGGAUGGAUGGUUUGGGGAAGGUUUUGGUUUGGGGGGGGGUGGGCUCGCGGCCUAUCAGCUUGUUGGGGGGGGGAUGGCCUACCAAGGCGGUGACGGGUAGCCGGCCUGAGAGGGUGGACGGUCACACUGGGACUGAGACACGGCCCAGACUCCUACGGGAGGCAGCAGUGGGGAAUAUUGCACAAUGGGCGCAAGCCUGAUGCAGCGACGCCGCGUGAGGGAUGGAGGCCUUCGGGUUGUGAACCUCUUUCGCCAGUGAGGCAGGCCUGCCUCGUUUGUGGGUGGGUUGACGGUAGCUGGAUAAGAAGCGCCGGCUAACUACGUG